UACGUAGGGUGCAAGCGUUGUCCGGAAUUAUUGGGCGUAAAGAGCUCGUAGGCGGUCUGUUGCGUCGGCUGUGAAAACCCGGGGCUCAACUCCGGGCCUGCAGCCGAUACGGGCAGACUAGAGUUCGGCAGGGGAGACUGGAAUUCCUGGUGUAGCGGUGGAAUGCGCAGAUAUCAGGAGGAACACCGGUGGCGAAGGCGGGUCUCUGGGCCGAUACUGACACUGAGAAGCGAAAGCGUGGGGAGCGAACAGG
RNAcentral lists this ribosomal RNA (253 nucleotides) under uncultured bacterium. RNAcentral describes it as "partial 16S ribosomal RNA". It matches the Rfam family "Bacterial small subunit ribosomal RNA", at positions 524 to 776 of the family's 1533-position model. The record is from RNAcentral.